Molecule: ribosomal RNA, 286 nt
Filed under: uncultured Xanthomonas sp.
Lineage: Bacteria; Pseudomonadati; Pseudomonadota; Gammaproteobacteria; Lysobacterales; Lysobacteraceae
Description: partial 16S ribosomal RNA
Rfam family: Bacterial small subunit ribosomal RNA
Source: RNAcentral
GCGUAGAUAUCGGGAGGAACAUUAUCUGUGGCGAAGGCGACUACCUGGACCAGCACUGACACUGAGGCACGAAAGCGUGGGGAGCAAACAGGAUUAGAUACCCUGGUAGUCCACGCCCUAAACGAUGCGAACUGGAUGUUGGGGGCAACUUGGCCCUCAGUAUCGAAGCUAACGCGUUAAGUUCGCCGCCUGGGAAGUACGGUCGCAAGACUGAAACUCAAAGGAAUUGACGGGGGCCCGCACAAGCGGUGGAGUAUGUGGUUUAAUUCGAUGCAACGCGCAGAAC